AAUAAAACAGUCGUGUCUAAAUGAAGACAAGAAAAAUUAAAUAAAUUUAAUAACACUUUAUGAGAUGAUCUAAUCCAUGGCUUGUGUGUUCUUAGUGUUAAAAUCAUCACGUUAUUUUUGUUAUUUUAUAAUAUAUUUCAAAUUUUUAUUUCUUUGGAGAGUAUUUUUUGUAAACAAUGCUCAAAAAAUAAUACGAAGCCUAAUUAAAAAGAAGAAAUAGACAGCUGAUUGACAAGUAAAACGUAAAUAAACAUACAAGACAAGCAAAAAAUAAAAAAUAUUUUAUUUUGAUGUAAUUAUUUAAACACUCAAUAAUACAGCAAAAUGUUUGAUUUUGGAGAUACUUUAGCCUUAUUAAUAGGAUUAUUUAUGAGUGUAAUACUAAUUUUAGCUUGUUUAGGUGCGUAUGCAAGAAAACAAGCACAUUUAGAACCUCUUUAGAUGAUGGGGCUUAAGAAUAAACAAUAAUAAACAAUAAUAUAGUUGUUACGAAUAUAUAUUUUAUUUUGUACCAAUGUAUAUUUAAAUAAAUAAAAAUAUUGUGAACA
Long non-coding RNA from Diabrotica virgifera virgifera (western corn rootworm), 548 nucleotides. RefSeq lists it as uncharacterized. The transcript is spliced from 2 exons. The record is from RefSeq and is a predicted model, not a curated record. NCBI's taxonomy places the organism in Eukaryota, Metazoa, Arthropoda, Insecta, Coleoptera, Chrysomelidae.